GACGAACGCUGGCGGCGUGCCUAAUACAUGCAAGUAGAACGCUGAAGGAGGAGCUUGCUUCUCUGGAUGAGUUCCGAACGGGUGAGUAACGCGUAGGUAACCUGCCUGGUAGCGGGGGAUAACUAUUGGAAACGAUAGCUAAUACCGCAUAAUAGUAGAUGUUGCAUGACAUUUGCUUAAAAGGUGCAAUUGCAUCACUACCAGAUGGACCUGCGUUGUAUUAGCUAGUUGGUGGGGUAACGGCUCACCAAGGCGACGAUACAUAGCCGACCUGAGAGGGUGAUCGGCCACACUGGGACUGAGACACGGCCCAGACUCCUACGGGAGGCAGCAGUAGGGAAUCUUCGGCAAUGGACGGAAGUCUGACCGAGCAACGCCGCGUGAGUGAAGAAGGUUUUCGGAUCGUAAAGCUCUGUUGUAAGAGAAGAACGAGUGUGAGAGUGGAAAGUUCACACUGUGACGGUAUCUUACCAGAAAGGGACGGCUAACUACGUG
Molecule: ribosomal RNA, 495 nt
Filed under: uncultured bacterium
Lineage: Bacteria
Description: partial 16S ribosomal RNA
Rfam family: Bacterial small subunit ribosomal RNA
Source: RNAcentral